RNAcentral lists this long non-coding RNA (295 nucleotides) under Setaria italica (foxtail millet). Its description in RNAcentral is "long non-coding RNA (SITA_LNC001576)". Lineage: Eukaryota; Viridiplantae; Streptophyta; Magnoliopsida; Poales; Poaceae. The record is from RNAcentral.
CUGUCGACACCACUCCUCGUGCCCCGCCGGAACGCUCCGCCGGCAGGACCCAGUCCUCGUCGCCGUCCCACGCCGUCACCCUCGCACGCUCCAGGCAGCUGCAGUUUCCCAUGGAUCCCUCGAAGCUAGCUAGUACAGCUUGGCGGCGCUACACAGCUGCAGCAGCUGCACUGGUGUGUGCUGGGAAUCGGGGAAAGGCAAGAGGACGAGAAGGAAAGAGAUGAGCUACGAGAGCAAGGUGAUGGAGAAGACUAAGAGAGCGAGGUAGUGAGCGAUUGAGCUUGAUGGUUUGGGG